GUCCACGGCCAUGCCACCCUGAACAAGCCCAAUCCCGUCUGAUCUCGGAAGCCAAGCAGGGUCAGGCCUGGUUAGUACUUGGAUGGGAGACCACCUAGGAAUACCAGGUGCUAUAGGCA
RNAcentral lists this ribosomal RNA (119 nucleotides) under Pteropus alecto (black flying fox). Lineage: Eukaryota; Metazoa; Chordata; Mammalia; Chiroptera; Pteropodidae. The record is from RNAcentral.